UUCGUAGGUGGCUUGUUAAGUCAGACGUGAAAUCCCUCGGCUCAACCGGGGAACUGCGUCUGAGACUGAUGAGCUCGAGUGCAGGAGAGGAACGCGGAAUUCCAGGUGUAGCGGUGAAAUGCGUAGAUAUCUGGAGGAACACCGGUGGCGAAGGCGGCGUUCUGGACUGCAACUGACACUGAGGAACGAAAGCCAGGGGAGCAAACG
Molecule: ribosomal RNA, 207 nt
Filed under: uncultured bacterium
Lineage: Bacteria
Description: partial 16S ribosomal RNA
Rfam family: Bacterial small subunit ribosomal RNA
Source: RNAcentral